Molecule: long non-coding RNA, 307 nt
Filed under: Solanum tuberosum (potato)
Lineage: Eukaryota; Viridiplantae; Streptophyta; Magnoliopsida; Solanales; Solanaceae
Description: long non-coding RNA (STUB_LNC011269)
Source: RNAcentral
ACUGGCGUAAACUCUCAUUGCUUGAUUCUUUGGGAAUGCAACACCAAUCGCUUCGUGGUUGUUGAAUACUCUUAUUGGGAUAUUAUCCACCAAAAAUCUGGCCAAUUAGAAAAAAUCCCCAAGAUGUCAGACAUAAACACUAAGUAAGUUGUUUAGACUUGGAUUAAAGUUCAAUUAGUAACAUACAUGAUGCGUUGAGAGUUCCAAACAAUAGAGUAGGUGUGGAACGACGAGGUGGGAUCAAACCAUAGGCGAAACUGUUGUUCUUUGUUGCCUUUUCCUUGAGAAUAGACAUUAGUGUGAACCG